UUUUUUGGAACACCCCUUAAAAGAAAAAUAAACUUGGACACCUCACUAUUCUGUCACAACCCUCUCCCUCUCGUCUCCUCUCCCUCACAACCCUCUCCUCCCUAGUCUUUCACUCUAUACCUAAUUUUGAAAGCUUAAGACUAUACCGAUCACCGACAAAGUAGCAAAAUCAGAACCCUUGACCCCAAUCUCAAAGAAACCAAAGUUUCUGUAGAAGUAACCAUCGAAUCGAAUGCUUUAGGAGGAACAGAGUCAUCUUGCAACAACAACAAGAUUGAGCAGCAGUAUAUACUAUUUUAAGGUUCCAUUUUUGCUUAUGGGUCUCAAUGAUUUUGAUCUAUCAAUAAUUGUGGAUAAUCUUUAAUUCAUUAGUUUAUUAUGUUUUAUGGGGUUUCUUUAAUUAGAGUAGUUAUUUUAAUAAUGGGGAUCAAAUAAUGUUGUAGGUGUUAAAUUGUCAAUACCAUGUUGUUUCCAAUUGAUAAUAUAUAAAUGUUACUAAUUAUUUUAUUUUUUUUGUUUGUACUUUGUUUUGAUAGAUGUGGUAGUGUAUUGAUUUUCUUCAUUUAUUUUGUUGAUUUGUUUAUUGAGCUUAUUUAAUUGUUUUUGAAUUUCGCUAUUGUCACCCUCAAUUAUCUUGUUUAUUAUAUUCACAAGUUGUUUUUACUUGUACUUUGAGAAGAUGAGUACCGAGUGUAUGGAUUAUAUGAAUUUAUGAAUGUCUAGUAGUUUUGAUUGGGUGUUUAAUCAAUUAGUUACGGCAAGAAAUUGUCCUUUUCUUAAUACAAAAAAGUCAACAGAAUUAAGGGGUUUAUUUUUUUUCCGCUCGAAAAUCCAAAUUAAGUUAAAUGUUCUUCAUGUUAUUUCUAAUCAUAUUGAACACAGAUAUACAACAAAAUAGCUACAUGUUUUGAGUUUAACAAGGGUUUUUUAUCUGCUGCAACUUAAAGAAAAGAGUUGAGCUGAUACUGAUAAACAAAUUUUAUGAACAUGAGCUCGCCAAUAUGUAUAUAUAUAUAUACAUGUAAACCCAACUUGCUUAAAUCUCUCCCCCAACUCCAAAAUAACCCAAAAAAACANNNNNNNNNNNNNNNNNNNNNNNNNNNNNNNNNNNNNNNNNNNNNNNNNNNNNNNNNNNNNNNNNNNNNNNNNNNNNNNNNNNNNNNNNNNNNNNNNNNNCUCCUUUUAGUUCUGGCUGCGUUUUCACAUAAACAGAGGUGGGUUACUAGUUUCUUGAUUAUUGUGUUCUGAGUUUCUACUGAAUUCAAAUUUUAUACUCGAUUUUUUUAUAAAAAAAAAUCAAUUGAUGAGCUGUGUUUUGGUGAAAAACAUGUUUCUAUAUCAAAAAAGUAAAGGUUUUAUUUUUCCUUCCAGCUUUUUACACUCAGGUCUGUUUUUUUUUUUUGUGCAACUCCUGAAGAUUAGUAAUCCAUUUUCUCUAAGUUGUAAGGUAAGGAAGAAGAAAGUUGGAGCAGGCCCUUGUUCAUUUCUUGGUGUAAUUUCAUAUAGGGAUUUUCUCGAGAGCUCGAAUUAAAGCUGAGCGCCCAUGUCACACAGAUACUAAUAUACCAUUUCUUUUGGUGGACUAGUCGUUAUUUGUUAAUUUUGGUUGCAACAUCAGUUAAUUCUUAUUUGCUUUAUGAAACUUACUGUUUUCUAGUUAGGUUUUGAUUACAAGAUCAUUUUCAGGCAUUAAUUUCAUGGGAUUGUAAUUAAUUUAGUCUUGUUGUAUAGUUUUGGCUCUAUGGGUAUAUGCUCUGUAAUUGCUUUUUUUCCCUCACAGUAAUCAUACAUUUCCUUGGGUUGCAAUUCAAAGAAUUUGUGUGAUAGACUAUUAUAUAUCCUUAUUACAUUUAUAUUUGUAUACAUUUUUUGCUAUUAAUUACCCUCUAAUAUAUACACCAAACCCCUUUUUAAUGACCUUUUCAAUAUAUAACUUUUGGUCUCUCUCAUUUUUCUCAGUCUUGUUAUCAAUCUGGUUACAUAGUAGGGAAAGAAAUCAACUCAAAACAGAUGUGUCUUAAAUUAUAAGAUGGGUUUAUGUGAUUAGUUUCUUCUCAAAAUAGUGAAUGUACACUUGGGUUGUAAUCCAACAAAAAUUAGGAAGCUGGUAAUUUGGUUCCUAUGAUCCAACUUAAUUUAAGAGCAUGAAAAUUCAUUUAUUGUCCAGCUGCUUCCUUCCAAAAGAAUAUAGUUAGUGUUAAUGUUGUGAGUCUGCUUCGAGUUAGACUAAUUUUCUUUGCAUGAAAAUUUACUUUCGACUGCUACACAUGCUCAUUAAUGGGCAUAGUGCAUAUUUAAUUUUAGAUCCAGAACAAAUUGUAUGUACAUGCUUUUAAAUAAUUUUAGCCUUUUAUUUAUAUUUUUAUUUUAUGUACAUGCUUUUAAUUUUAGUCUUUUAUUUAUGUUUUUAAUAUCUUUUAUUGGAAGUAGUUAAUUGCAAUUUUGAGGAUUAUGUUUGGUACCAUGUGAGCAGUUAAGCUAUUUUGUCAACAAAUUUGAUCUUCAGUUCAAAGUGUAGUCACUAGUCCAUAAAUGUUUUAAUAGUCACUGCCAUAGUAAUUUACAGAAUAGGUUAUCGGUUUCCAGCUUAUAGUGUUAUUGAAUGAUUUCAUGCUAAAUUAUUACCCCUGAAGCUCUUACUAGAUUAUUUUGUACCCAUCAGGCAAAAAUAAAAAUUUGUACGAAAAUUUUAACUUUCAAAUUUUUAGUCUGCAAUUGAGACAUCAUAGUUGGAUGUAGUUAAAUUCUGUAUUAUGUUGCUCUUUUUGUGUUGUUGCUAUGUUUUUCUCUAAUUCUCUUUACCAUAGUUUCUUUUGCUUUAAAUAGUCAUUAGAAAUUUCUAUUUUAUCUUGUUGCGACCGACUAUAGUUAUCUCUAACCAAUUCUUGGUAUUUUCCUGGCAACUUUGUUGUAUAGUUGAUUGUUCUUGUUUUGAUGCUUACUGUAAUUAUAAUUUUCUGACCAAUUCUUGCAUUUUUCUAAUGUCAGGUAAAUCUUUGAUUAGGUACUUUAAAAGAGAAUCUCUUAAAAAUAUUGGGUUUUGUUGAUUACUGGUGAUGGAUUGACAAUGUAAAGCUUGACUGUCUUAGUGUAAGUACUUGAUUAAGUAGUAGGACUAUCAAGUUUCUAGUCUCUGAUGCUGAUGAGGAAAGGAUGUCCACUUAUUGGAAUUUUUGAUAUAACUAGAUAUAGUAGAUUAAUUAGAGUUUGUUAAUCAUACUACAUUAAUUGAGUCGCCUUUUUCAGCUACUAUCUUUGUAUCACAUUGUGUCUACUGGCAUCCUAUUUAAGGCAUACAUUUUCGUGUUAGACAAGGUUGAAGGUUUUAAUGAAGCAUUUUCUUAGGAUAUGAAUUUCAGCUUUUUGGAUUAUAUAAUUUAGUUUUGUGGUACUUAGAUUAUUUAAACAAUUGUUUAUUGCUUAGCUAGUUGGGUAUUUUGUUGAAU
Molecule: long non-coding RNA, 3446 nt
Filed under: Panax ginseng (ginseng)
Lineage: Eukaryota; Viridiplantae; Streptophyta; Magnoliopsida; Apiales; Araliaceae
Description: long non-coding RNA (PGIN_LNC017208)
Source: RNAcentral